Molecule: small nucleolar RNA, 125 nt
Filed under: Microtus ochrogaster (prairie vole)
Lineage: Eukaryota; Metazoa; Chordata; Mammalia; Rodentia; Cricetidae
Description: Small nucleolar RNA SNORA70 (ENSMOCG00000005662.1)
Rfam family: Small nucleolar RNA SNORA70
About the family: snoRNA U70 seems to be exclusive to mammals and is a member of the H/ACA class of snoRNA which contain H (ANANNA) and ACA box motifs. H/ACA box snoRNAs are involved in the conversion of uridines to pseudouridines (5-ribosyluracil) a constituent of structural RNAs (transfer, ribosomal, small nuclear, and small nucleolar).
Source: RNAcentral
CCUCGGUCAACCAGUUCCUUUCUUUCCGUGGAUCUGGUACGCAAGAGCCGCCAAGUAUAACCUCCUUGGUCGUCUAUGCAGCCUGCUGGAUGUCCGGGUUCCCCUUAGAGAUCUUCGGAACAGUU